RNAcentral lists this ribosomal RNA (397 nucleotides) under uncultured bacterium. Its description in RNAcentral is "bacterial SSU rRNA". It matches the Rfam family "Bacterial small subunit ribosomal RNA", at positions 362 to 776 of the family's 1533-position model. The record is from RNAcentral.
UAUNGCACAAUGGGGGAAACCCUGAUGCAGCNACGCCGCGUGAGCGAUGAAGUAUUUCGGUAUGUAAAGCUCUAUCAGCAGGGAAGAAAAUGACGGUACCUGACUAAGAAGCCCCGCCUAACUACGUUCCAGCAGACGCGGUAAUACGUAGGGGGCAAGCGUUAUCCGGAUUUACUGGGUGUAAAGGGAGCGUAGACGGCUGGGCAAGUCAGAUGUGAAAGCCCGGGGCUCAACCCCGGGACUGCAUUUGGAACUGUGUGGCUGGAGUGUCGGAGAGGCAGGCGGAAUUCCUAGUGUAGCGGUGAAAUGCGUAGAUAUUAGGAGGAACACCAGUGGCGAAGGCGACUUUCUGGACAGUAACUGACGUUGAGGCACGAAAGGGUGGGGAGCAAACAGG